This 484-nucleotide ribosomal RNA is filed under the name uncultured bacterium. RNAcentral describes it as "partial 16S ribosomal RNA". It matches the Rfam family "Bacterial small subunit ribosomal RNA", at positions 30 to 507 of the family's 1533-position model. The record is from RNAcentral.
AUUGAACGCUGGCGGCAGGCCUAACACAUGCCAGUCGAGCGGAUGAAGGGAGCUUGCUCCUGGAUUCAGCGGCGGACGGGUGAGUAAUGCCUAGGAAUCUGCCUGGUAGUGGGGGAUAACGUCCGGAAACGGGCGCUAAUACCGCAUACGUCCUGAGGGAGAAAGUGGGGGAUCUUCGGACCUCACGCUAUCAGAUGAGCCUAGGUCGGAUUAGCUAGUUGGUGGGGUAAAGGCCUACCAAGGCGACGAUCCGUAACUGGUCUGAGAGGAUGAUCAGUCACACUGGAACUGAGACACGGUCCAGACUCCUACGAGAGGCAGCAGUGGGGAAUAUUGGACAAUGGGCGAAAGCCUGAUCCAGCCAUGCCGCGUGUGUGAAGAAGGUCUUCGGAUUGUAAAGCACUUUAAGUUGGGAGGAAGGGCAGUAAGUUAAUACCUUGCUGUUUUGACGUUACCAACAGAAUAAGCACCGGCUAACUUCGUG